This 1617-nucleotide ribosomal RNA is filed under the name Triticum aestivum (bread wheat). Its description in RNAcentral is "partial small subunit ribosomal RNA". The record is from RNAcentral. Lineage: Eukaryota; Viridiplantae; Streptophyta; Magnoliopsida; Poales; Poaceae.
AUGCACGAGAGGGACCUUGCCUCCCUGCAGAAUAUAUAUAUUGCACCUACCGAGUCCAGAGACGUUGCAAUUAACAAUCGAGAGUGGCCACUCGUGGAAGCAACAACGAACGUAGUCACUCCGUCAAGCCGUCCGCUCUCUGUCCACGUGCCAACGGAGAUGGAAUGUGCCGACCAUUCCAUGGCGGAGGAGCCCAUGAGUCCUACCGGAAGAGGUAUGGAAGAGAUGGGUAUCUGCAUCGUCCUCGUGAUGGGGCUCGGCACGCCGGUGAACCUGCCUGUCUUCCGUGCCGGCAUCGAAACAGAACUAGUUACUCGUCUGCCACGCUUCCGCUGUAUUCCAGUAAUGGACGAGUCCGCCAAGGAUGGCAAUCCGCGAUGGGUGCAAACGGCUGUAAAUGUGGACGACCACAUCGUCAUCCCAAGACUGGAUGCUGCUGCCGUGGCAUCCGAUCCGGAAAAGGCCGUGGAGGACUACGUGGCAUCGCUGUCCCUGCUCCCGAUGGACAUGUGUCGUCCUUUCUGGGAGUUCCACUUCCUCGACUUCCCAACCUCCGAGGCGGCCUCCACGGUGGUGCUCCGUCUGCACCACUCCAUUGGCGACGGCACGUCCAUCACGACGCUCCUUGUGGCAGCGUCGCGCAGCAUGGUCAAUCCAGCAAGGCUGCCAGCUAUGCCGCCACCACCCAAGCGCACGGGCGCGAUCUACCAGCUGCCGCCACGGCCUCCGCUGUCUUCGGGUGAUUACCUUGCGCUGUUCGCGUGGGUUUGGUCAUGUUUUGUGCUGGCUUGGCACACACUCGUGGACAUGACGUUGAUUGUUGCAACAAUCCUGUUCUUGAGUGACCCACCCACGCUCUUCACCCGUCCGCGGGAUGGUGGCGAGUCUCGUCGCCGCAAGCGUUUCGUGCAUCGUACCCUUAGCUUUGACGACGUCAAGCUCAUCAAUACUGCCAUGAAUUGCACUAUAAACGAUGUGCUAGUUGGUGUGACUUCGGCGGCUCUUUCACAAUAUUACUUUAGAAAGUCUGGUGAGAGUAAUACUAAGAGAAUUGGUUUGCGGUCAUGUGUCCUUGUCGACGCAAGGCCGGUGUCUACCAGACAAACAUAUGUUACCAGGGUAGAGACAGGAAAUCAACUUACCGGCCUCAUCUGCCCGUUUAAUAUAACCUUGAAAGAUGAUCCCCUUGAGUAUGUUCACGAGGCAAAAAGGUUCAUGAAUAGGAAAAAGAAGUCUUUAGCAGUGAUGCUCACACGAGUGAUUGGUGAAUUCUUAGUCAAAAACUUUGGUCUGAAGACAGGAAGAUUUAUCUUUCACCGCUUUUUAACACGUACAACCAUAAUAUUUUCGAAUGCAAUUGGGCCAGCUGAACAUAUGACGUUAUGUGGGCACCCAGUUGCCUUCAUGGCACCUAGCAUCUAUGGCCAACCACAAGCUUUGACUGUGCACUACCAUAAUUAUGGUAGUGAUAUCAAGGUAGUUCUCGCAGUUGAUGACGAACAAUUUCAAGAUUGUCAUCAACUUUUGGGUGAUUUUGUUGAGUCCAUCAGGAUUAUGAAGAAUGCGGCAGCCCUGAAGAUGUUGACAACUUCGAACCAUAACGGUGUGACUGAGUAA